AAUCCAUAGGUUAAUGAGGCGAACCGGGGGAACUGAAACAUCUAAGUACCCCGAGGAAAAGAAAUCAACCGAGAUUCCCCCAGUAGCGGCGAGCGAACGGGGAGGAGCCCAGAGCCUGAAUCAGCAUGUGUGUUAGUGGAAGCGUCUGGAAAGGCGCGCGAUACAGGGUGACAGCCCCGUACACAAAAGCGCAUGUGCUGUGAGCUCGAUGAGUAGGGCGGGACACGUGGUAUCCUGUCUGAAUAUGGGGGGACCAUCCUCCAAGGCUAAAUACUCCUGACUGACCGAUAGUGAACCAGUACCGUGAGGGAAAGGCGAAAAGAACCCCGGCGAGGGGAGUGAAAAAGAACCUGAAACCGUGUACGUACAAGCAGUGGGAGCCCCACCACUAAGCCAGUGGUGAACUCCACAUACGCAUCCUUUGCUGAGGAUACGGUUAACGGAGCGAAAGCGACGUUCAACCGCAAAAGAAGCAGAGGGGGCUUAGUGGUGGGGUGACUGCGUAC
Molecule: ribosomal RNA, 506 nt
Filed under: Salmonella enterica subsp. enterica serovar Telelkebir
Lineage: Bacteria; Pseudomonadati; Pseudomonadota; Gammaproteobacteria; Enterobacterales; Enterobacteriaceae
Description: partial 23S ribosomal RNA
Rfam family: Bacterial large subunit ribosomal RNA
Source: RNAcentral